GUCCUUCCUACAAGCAUCAAAACCAAACAUUUUAUACCAAAUUCUCAGCCAAUUCACAACUAAAACAUACAUCACUCAUGCCAUUUCAUUAACAACAAAUUUCAUGCUGUACAUUCAUACCAAAUCAUACCAAAAAUCAUAUAGCAAACUCAUUCAUUCUAACAUAUCCAAUCUCAUGCCAAAAUCAUAAUAUUUCCACAACCAAAUCACAUUACCAACUUACCAAAUUGACCAUUCUCUUUGGCCAACCAUGAGCACAUCA
RNAcentral lists this long non-coding RNA (262 nucleotides) under Gossypium barbadense (sea-island cotton). RNAcentral's name for it is "long non-coding RNA (GBAR_LNC006322)". Lineage: Eukaryota; Viridiplantae; Streptophyta; Magnoliopsida; Malvales; Malvaceae. The record is from RNAcentral.